RNAcentral lists this ribosomal RNA (478 nucleotides) under uncultured bacterium. Its description in RNAcentral is "partial 16S ribosomal RNA". It matches the Rfam family "Bacterial small subunit ribosomal RNA", at positions 28 to 523 of the family's 1533-position model. The record is from RNAcentral.
GACGAACGCUGGCGGCGUGCUUAACACAUGCAAGUCGAACGGUAAGGCCCUUCGGGGUACACGAGUGGCGAACGGGUGAGUAACACGUGGGUGAUCUGCCCUGCACUUCGGGAUAAGCCUGGGAAACUGGGUCUAAUACCGGAUAGGACUCCUGCCUGCAUGGGUGGGGGUGGAAAGCUUUUGCGGGGUGGGAUGGGCCCGCGGCCUAUCCGCUUGUUGGUGGGGGGAUGGCCUACCAAGGCGACGACGGGUAGCCGGCCUGAGAGGGUGACCGGCCACACUGGGACUGAGAUACGGCCCAGACUCCUACGGGAGGCAGCAGUGGGGAAUAUUGCACAAUGGGCGCAAGCCUGAUGCAGCGACGCCGCGUGAGGGAUGACGGCCUUCGGGUUGUAAACCUCUUUCAGCACAGACGAAGCGCAAGUGACGGUAUGUGCAGAAGAAGGACCGGCCAACUACGUGCCAGCAGCCGCAGUAA